This 468-nucleotide ribosomal RNA is filed under the name uncultured bacterium. Its description in RNAcentral is "partial 16S ribosomal RNA". It matches the Rfam family "Bacterial small subunit ribosomal RNA", at positions 28 to 507 of the family's 1533-position model. The record is from RNAcentral.
GACGAACGCUGGCGGCGUGCUUAACACAUGCAAGUCGAACGGCAGGGCCCUGCUUUUGUGGGGUUCUCGAGUGGCGAAGGGGUGAGUACCACGUGAGUAACCUGCCCUUGACUUUGGGAUGACUUCCGGAAACUGGGGCUAAUACCGUAUCGGAGCUGCUGCUGCGUGGUGGGGGUUGGAAAGUUUCGGCGGUUGGGGAUGGACUCGCGGCUUAUCAGCUUGUUGGUGGGGUAGUGGCUUACCAAGGCAUUGACUGGUAGGCGGCCUGAGAGGUUGACCGGCGACAAUGGUACUGAGAGACGGCGCAGACUGCUACGGGAGGCAGCAGGGGGGAAUAUUGCACAAUGAGCGGGAGUCUGAUGCAGCAACGUCGCGUUUGGGAUGACGGCCUGCGGGUUGAAAACCGCUUUCGCCUGUGACGAAGCGUGAGUGACGGUAAUGGGUAAAGAAGCACCGGCUAACUACGUG